UUGAUUAUGACGUACUUGUACUGAUUGAGAUUUUAACACGAAGUGAGUGGCGAACGGGUGAGUAACACGUGGGUAACCUGCCCAGAAGUAGGGGAUAACACCUGGAAACAGAUGCUAAUACCGUAUAACAGAGAAAACCGCAUGGUUUUCUUUUAAAAGAUGGCUCUGCUAUCACUUCUGGAUGGACCCGCGGCGUAUUAGCUAGUUGGUGAGGUAAAGGCUCACCAAGGCAGUGAUACGUAGCCGACCUGAGAGGGUAAUCGGCCACAUUGGGACUGAGACACGGCCCAGACUCCUACGGGAGGCAGCAGUAGGGAAUCUUCCACAAUGGACGCAAGUCUGAUGGAGCAACGCCGCGUGAGUGAAGAAGGGUUUCGGCUCGUAAAGCUCUGUUGUUAAAGAAGAACGUGGGUAAGAGUAACUGUUUACCCAGUGACGGUAUUUAACCAGAAAGCCACGGCUAACUACGUGCCAGCAGCCGCGGUAAUACGUAGGUGGCAAGCGUUAUCCGGAUUUAUUGGGCGUAAAGCGAGCGCAGGCGGUCUUUUAAGUCUAAUGUGAAAGCCUUCGGCUCAACCGAAGAAGUGCAUUGGAAACUGGGAGACUUGAGUGCAGAAGAGGACAGUGGAAUUCCAUGUGUA
Molecule: ribosomal RNA, 641 nt
Filed under: Pediococcus pentosaceus
Lineage: Bacteria; Bacillati; Bacillota; Bacilli; Lactobacillales; Lactobacillaceae
Description: bacterial SSU rRNA
Rfam family: Bacterial small subunit ribosomal RNA
Source: RNAcentral